AAGUUCUGCCCAGGACUUUAAUGGGUUUCGAUAUCGCAGCGUCUAGCCAAGCUUCCAGACAAGCUCUUGAAGCGCCGGUUGUCAGUGGUCUCCAGUCUUAGCCGUGGCCCAGGCUAGCGGCUGCGUAGACCGCGCGAACGGCGCUCAGCUUGCGAGGCUUUCUCGCCGGGAUUUGGAAAGCAUAUGGCAGCUCGCUCAGUCGGCCCUGUGCGCCCAGGCAAGCGCGCUACUUUAGCGCUGCUUGCCCGAGGUGGCGCUCGGCAUCUGGCUGUGGGUUGCCUAGCGCUGCAGGAUGGUCCUCYUUUCACGUGCGCAUGCGGCGGCCAAGCCUUCUGCCUUCCGCGCCCUUUCGCGCGCUUGCGAAGGGCAGCGAGCUGGCGGGUUGCGGACGCUGCUUUGCGCUUACUUAAAGAGGGAAGCUGGAARSCCCAAMRAGUCCAAUGGGAU
This 447-nucleotide ribosomal RNA is filed under the name Meriphus sp. CND689. RNAcentral describes it as "eukaryotic LSU rRNA". Lineage: Eukaryota; Metazoa; Arthropoda; Insecta; Coleoptera; Curculionidae. The record is from RNAcentral.